UACGAGAACCCCAAGCGUUAUCCGGAAUCAUUGGGCGUAAAGGGUGUGUAGGUGGUUGUGUUAGUCUUCUGUCAAAACUUCGGGCUUAACCCGAAUCUUGCGGAGGAAACGGCACGACUCGAGGAUGCGAGAGGUGAAUGGAACUCAUGGAGUAGGGGUAAUAUCCGUUGAUAUCAUGGGGAACACCAAAAGCGAAGGCAAUUCACUGGCGCAUUCCUGACACUGAAACACGAAAGCGUGGGUAGCGAAUGGG
This 253-nucleotide ribosomal RNA is filed under the name uncultured bacterium. RNAcentral describes it as "partial 16S ribosomal RNA". It matches the Rfam family "Bacterial small subunit ribosomal RNA", at positions 524 to 776 of the family's 1533-position model. The record is from RNAcentral.